Molecule: ribosomal RNA, 319 nt
Filed under: uncultured Pseudomonadota bacterium
Lineage: Bacteria; Pseudomonadati; Pseudomonadota
Description: bacterial SSU rRNA
Rfam family: Bacterial small subunit ribosomal RNA
Source: RNAcentral
AUUGAACGCUGGCGGUAUGCUUAACACAUGCAAGUCGAACGGUAACAGGCCUUCGGGCGCUGACGAGUGGCGGACGGGUGAGUAACGCGUAGGAAUCUGCCUUAUAGUGGGGGACAACGUGGGGAAACCCACGCUAAUACCGCAUACGCCCUACGGGGGAAAGGAGGGGAUCUUCGGACCUUUCGCUAUGAGAUGAGCCUGCGUUAGAUUAGCUAGUUGGUAGGGUAACGGCCUACCAAGGCUGAGAUGGGUAGCCGGCCUGAGAGGGUGAACGGCCACACUGGAACUGAGACACGGUCCAGACUCCUACGGGUGGCAG